AUGGGCUCCGAGAAGCUCCACCUGAAGAUGUCACCUAGGUACCUGCCCGAACACCUCCAGGGAGGCAAAUCACCUAGCUUGAAGGUGACUAAGUCUUCUAGAAGGGGAGAACUUGGGUGCCAAAUGAGAUUGGGAGAACCAAUCAGAGAGGUCCUGAGGACUAUUAGAUCUGGUAGAACCAAACCUGAGUCUGGUGAAAAAAACAGUUUAAAAGGGGGCAGCUGGAUGGCUCAGUGGAUUGAGAGCCAGGGCUUGAGUUGGGAGGUCCUAGGUUCAAAUAUGGUCUCAGAUACUUCCCAGCUAUGUGACCCUGGACAAGUCACUUAACCUCCAUUGCCUAUUUACCACUCUUCUGUCUUGGAACCAAUAUACAGUAUUGAUUCUAAGAUGGAAAGUAAGGGUUUAAAAAAAAACAGUUUUGAGGGGCAACAACCUUCACUGCUGAUGAUAGAGUGGUCAGUCUACAAAGAGGUAGGAUGAGGACUGACUAAUAGUGGAUAGGCUAUGCCAUACCCAGAAGUGAUUCUGGUAGAGAUGCAAUGAAGGCAUAUACUCCUUGCCAUAUUGGUUUUCUACAUUGGUGCCUCUCUACUUUUCUGCUUUAAGUCUAAACCCAUUCUCUCCAAGGAUUGGGUGUGAGUUUUGGGGCGAGUGCACCAUUAGUAUGAUGGAUAUUUUGUGACUUGUCCUUGCUAGAUCACCUCAGCAAAUAUCCUUUCAUAAACAUUUAUUGAUAUUAAUUGGUUAAUUUGUAUUGAGAGAUGCACAGCAAACGGGGUCUUAUGAGAAUUGCUAUUAGAAAUCCCACCACAGGGCAAAGAAUUGGAAAUUGAAGGGAUGUCCUUCAAUUGGUAAAUGGCUAAACAAAUUGUGAAGGUGAUAGAAUACUGUAAGAAAUGAUGAACACGAUGAUUUCAGAAAAAGCUGGAAAGAUCUACAUGAACUGAUGCAGAGGGAAAUAAGCAGAAACAGGAAAACUGUACACAGUAACAGCAAUACUGUGGAAUGAUCAACUGUGACAGACUUGGCUAUUCUCAGCAUUACAAUGAUCCAGGACCAUUCUGUGAGACUUAGGACAAAGAAUGCCCUCCUGAGAAAAAACUAUUGGAGUCAGAAUGCAAAUGAAAGCAUGUGAUUUUUCACUUGUUUAUUUGGGUUUUUGGUUUGGGGUAUUGGUUUUAUAUGAUUAUUCUCUUUCAAAAAUGAACAAUUUGGGAAUAUAUUUUGCAUGAUAAUACAUGUAUAACCCAGAUGAAUUGCUUGCCAUCUCUGGGAAGUGGGAGGGAGACAAUUUGGAUCAUAUAAUAUUAGAAAACUUAUGAAGAAA
RNAcentral lists this long non-coding RNA (1327 nucleotides) under Monodelphis domestica (gray short-tailed opossum). RNAcentral describes it as "lncRNA (ENSMODG00000032657.2)". Lineage: Eukaryota; Metazoa; Chordata; Mammalia; Didelphimorphia; Didelphidae. The record is from RNAcentral.